Marmota monax (woodchuck) is the source of this 2170-nucleotide long non-coding RNA. RefSeq lists it as uncharacterized. The record is from RefSeq and is a predicted model, not a curated record. The transcript is spliced from 3 exons. NCBI's taxonomy places the organism in Eukaryota, Metazoa, Chordata, Mammalia, Rodentia, Sciuridae.
AGCACAGAGCAAGAAGAAGAGUCCCUAAGUUGAUCAACAGCUCAAAGAAGAGACCCUUGCCGGGAUAGCUGCUGAGACCCUGGCACGAGAGGGCAGUGGACUCCCUCAGCCCCAGGAGAACCAGAUAAAGGAAGCAGCAUCUGUCCCAGAAGAUCCAGGGAGAUCUGAGCAGCCGGGCCAGGAAGUUCCUUGAAGUUCUGGAUCUUUGAUGUCUUGAUGAAGGUAUAAAUCCCCCUAGCCCGUUCCUGAACUACAUGUCCUGGAACUCAAAGUGUCUGUAUUCUUGGCUGGGACUGGCCUCCAGAGAGUUGGUGGCCAUCUGUGUGAUCGGAGGGCCGCCAGGAUACCACUCCUACUGCCGAGUCGUGCUGUGUGAAAUCCUGCCAGGUGAUAAUCAUUUCUUGGUCAUCAAGAGCCCAGUAGGGGUGUGAGUGAUGCACUUGUAGUUCUUUUUUUUUUUUUUUUUAGUUCAGAAGGGAUGAGGUUGGAAACUUUGGAAACUUUGAUAUAACUAGAGUUUUCUCUCUUAAAAGAAAACUUAUCUGAAACUUAGAAAUAAGGAAGGCCAAGGGACAUUCCCCACCCCCCAAGGUCAUACUGGGGGCAUUGUUUGUCAGGCUCACCCAGAGAUAGUUCCAUUCUUGAAGAGAAUAUACCUGUGUGUGACUUUACUAUUUACUAGUUGAUAAGCCCAGACACAGUAAAUAUACAUGUUACCUUAUCAAUUUCUGUCCCUUAGCGAAGAUAACCACAAGGGUUACAGGCUCAUUCCCACGUCGGCACAUUCACCAGCUUCCUAGCUAGCCUGGCAGUCACUCCAACACUUUAUCUUGUUCUUAAAUGCUGUAAAAUUCCACAGAUGUUCUUUAAGCUUCUUUACUAUCCUAUUGGCUUAACAAGUUGAAUAUUAAUUUUAUAUUUGUGUAAAAGUUGUGUGUUUAACUUUUUAAACUUAAUAAAUUUAAAAACUUAUUAAGUGACAGGAAGGUAAGGAGACAUUAGGGCCAUAGCUUUAAAGACGUGACAUGGAUCUCAUUUAUAUGUGACGAGCUGGGUCUACCGUCGAUCCUUGAAGCAGCAGGAUGCGUCAGGUGGCAUGGAAUCUGUGCAGGGAGCCCCUUGGUGCGCAAGAGGCCACUGGAUUUUUUUUUCCAACCUUAACAGCUAGCUGAGAGCAAGGUCAGAAGAAGAGGGUGUGGGUGGAGCCAGGGCCACCAGAUGGAAGGAGGGGAUUUCUGACUGCUGUUGUGAUUUCUGAACCAAGGCCCCUGGCAGAUGCAAAUGUCAACUGGAGGAGGAGACCUCAGAGGUGGAGGAAUCUAGGGAAGACAAGGUCCGGUGUGAUGAUGGAGUGGAGCAGAGGAGGAUGAAGUAUGAUGCUGCAGAGCACAAUCCUCAGACUUCUGGAAAGAAGUUGUUCAUUUUGCUCUUCUGCCUUUCCAUUCAAACUGGCUGAAAACACCACUAACUCCAGAUGAAAGACAAGCAGAUCUUUGCCAAUUUGUAAUGCUCUCCAGGAGAGAGGUGGGGGUGCCGAGCAUCGCAUUUUCCUGUAGUUGCUUGUUCUUCAGCUGCUUUAAAAAGUAUCCUGCCAACAUGGAGAAAUCAGAACCCUCAUCCACCACGGGGGAAUGCAAAAUGAUACAGCGCCUUUGGAAAACAGACUGGCAAUUCCUAAAAAACACUAAAUAUAAAGUUAGCAUAUAAUCCAGUAAUUCCACUCCUAAGUCAGUAUUCCCAGGACAAUCGAAAAAUGCAUGUGCCUAAUAAAACUUGUGCACAAAUGUUCACGUCAGCAUUGUUCAUAUUAUUUUUUCUAAAGAUAAAUUAAGUGAGAUCUUUGUUAUUUGUUUUGUUCCUUACCUAGUCAUAUCUUUUUGGAAACAACUCAAUAGUGGGAUAAAUAUAUGAUCUUCCCUCACCCCCAGUUCUUCUUCUUUCCAUGGUAAGGAGGGGUUCCAUGGCUGAGGUCAGCUUUGGCCCACAGCCCCGGGGUCAGGCCUGUGUUCAUCUGUGGAGAUUCGAAUCAUAAUAUUGCAAGCUAGAUUUACCUUCCUUGGGAAUUUAGUUCCUUUUUAUUUCCAAACACAUUUUCUUUAUUUCAUCCUAUUUAUUUCUGCACCCUGCCUCAAGCUCUGACAAAUUUGAAUUUUUCCAAAAGCACAGAGAA